ACCUGGGAAAGCAAAGGAAUCUGCCAAGGAGAUUGGAUAGAGAAGGUUUAGAGGGUAGUGGUGUGAAUACAAGAUCAAGUUAUUCCCACAAGAAGCUUCAAGCAGUGCCUCCACACUCCGGGACCUGAACAAGGUAUCUUUAGGACGUGCUGAGAUAGUAAUUCCCUUAGCUCUCAAGGUAACUGUGUGGGGCCUGGAGAAAGCAGAGACCCCAGGGGCUAACAUAUCUGGAUGUUUCUGGCCACAAUACAAUUAUUACUUUCUGCAUAUGCCAUGACCUAAACAAUAUUGGGAGCCUUGCCUAUUGCUCUUCAGCAAAAUAGUUACAACUAGCAGCAAGUAAUUGAUUGUGAUUACCUAAGAAAGUGACAUUUCCUAUCCAUCGCCUCAGCAACCACAAGAGAAGUAAAUAAAUCACCUCUCCUGUUUAACUAAGUGUUUGACCAAGCUACAAGGAAUGAGCCUCAUAUUUUUUAGGUGAAAAUUAUAUCUUUUUCCAACUAGUAUAUAUGGAAAAUAGAAUAUGUGCAUAUGUUUGAUUCUGUAAACUAAUGUCAAAAUUCCAGAAGAUUCUUAAAGCCUCAGGAGGAAUGACUCAACAAGGGGAAUUUGAGGAAGGGGGUAGUGCUAAAAAGCUGAAGCAGAAGAGAUUUGAUCAGUUAUUGACUAAAGGAGCUGUCAAUCAUUUCUGCUCAGCAAAUUGGGUCACAGCGUAUUAGUUCACAACAAAUUAGAUCACAGGAAAGGAGAACCCAGUGGGUGGUCCUAAAGGGAACUCAAGGUUUGAAAGGAGGUGAUGUAAGGCAGGCUGACCUUGAGAAAGAUGUGGCUGUCAUAGAAGCCAGACUCAACUGCCAUAUUAGGGUGAUGGAUGAAGACUAGAAGCUUUAGAGAAGGGUAGAGCCAGCAUUAGUUUCUGGCUGGUGUGCAUGCUUCAGUCAAACAAAAACUACACAGAAAUGUGAGGCAAAGAGGAAAGGAUCAGAAAGCAAAGAUAGAAUCUGGAACCACGGGAAACUCCAGGAGACAGGUAGAGGGAGAAGCUGGCUCGAAGCCCAGAGGCAGACACAAAAUGUCCCACUCACCGAAGGGAUCAGAACAGGGUGGGCCUGAGAAGCAGGGUCCAGAGGAGGUGCACACCAGCCCUCAGCUGGAAAAGGGCAUCGGAGAAGGUUCCGGGAGAGAUUGAAUUCCUACCCAGCUUGAUAGAUGGGCCAACCCAAACCUGCCAUGGAUUAGAAGUUGUUGACUGUCAUUUUUCCAGUUCAUAUCAAGGAAAAGGUGGCCAAGUGCAAGGAGCUGUGGAAAUCUAAGGAAAUCCAGACUGGUUAUCAGAGACCACGGGGACUGACUUCAGGCCCUCCUGCCUUCACUGCUUAGUAUCAACAGUCGUGUCUGUUUCCUUGUGGCAUCUAUCUGCCUCAGAUUUGUGUUGUGUUCCCCACAGACUGUAAACACACAGCAAAGGAAGCCUUCUCUGAGCAAUGGGCUCCCUUCCUCCAGCCCUGCUCUCCCUGGCACGUGCUCCCGUGUUUACAGGGCCAUCCCUCUAAGUGCAUAUCUGACCGUGUCACUGUCUUCUUCAAGGCCUCUCAUGGCUCCUUCUGCACAAGAAAGCACAUCGCUCAGCACCUUGCCAGUCUGAUCACCGUCCAGCUUCACCUGCACCACCUGUCAGUGCCCACCUCCCCCCCAUAACAGGAUCUGGGGACACUUGGCUUUUUGAACUUCUUGCACACAUGCUGCUCUCAAGCCUCAGAUCCAAGCUGCUCCUGCUGUCUGGAAUGGCUCUUCCCCACCCAACCUCAUCCUGCCCGUGUCACCAGCAAGCUCCUGUAACUCCUUCAGAGUCCAGGUGAGGUGUCACCUUGCUGGGGAAGCUGUUUUCAAAACUGUUAGGGACUGAACUGUGUUCCCCAAAAUGCGUAUGUUGAAAUCCUAACCACCAGCACCUAAGAAUGUGACUUUGUUUAGAGAUAGGGCCUUUUGAAAGAUGACUAAGUUAAAAUGGGGUCAUUAAGGUGGGCCCUAAUCUAAUGUGAUUGGUGUCCUUAGAAGAAGAGGACAUUGGGACCCACAGAGAGAUACCUGGAAUGUGCACGUGCAGAGGAAGGACCAUGUGAGAUGACAGGGAGAAGGCAGCCAUCAGCAAGCCAAGGAGAGAGUCCUCAGGAGAAGCCCACCCUGCUGACACGGUGAUCUUAGACUUCCAGGCUCCAGAACUGUGAGAAAUAAAUUGCUGUUGUUUAAGCCAUUCAUUUAUUGGUAUUUUAUUAUGCAGCCCAGGCAAACCAAUACAGAUGCCCAUAGAGUAGCCUUGAUUUAGGCUUUCAGCAUAACAUAUAUGCCAUCUUUUUGGCAUCUCCUAUCAGGCAGGGCUCAGAAACACUCUUUAUGCUUUACCCUAAACCCUAUGUGGCUACUGUAAACAUGUGUUAAUAAAUGUCAUCAAGAACUGGUCAGGGACACAUUCUCCUCCAA
Molecule: non-coding RNA, 2481 nt
Organism: Manis javanica (Malayan pangolin)
Lineage: Eukaryota; Metazoa; Chordata; Mammalia; Pholidota; Manidae
Source: RefSeq, a predicted model, not a curated record